This 109-nucleotide ribosomal RNA is filed under the name Castor canadensis (American beaver). Lineage: Eukaryota; Metazoa; Chordata; Mammalia; Rodentia; Castoridae. The record is from RNAcentral.
GCCUACAGCCAUACCACCCUGAAUAUGCACAGUCUCAUCUGAUGUCAGAAGCUAAGCAGGGUCAGGCCUGGUUAGAACUUGGAUGGGAGACAGAUCUUCAGAAGAGACU